Molecule: transfer RNA, 71 nt
Filed under: Bos taurus (domestic cattle)
Lineage: Eukaryota; Metazoa; Chordata; Mammalia; Artiodactyla; Bovidae
Also listed under: 2 other names
Rfam family: tRNA
About the family: Transfer RNA (tRNA) molecules are approximately 80 nucleotides in length. Their secondary structure includes four short double-helical elements and three loops (D, anti-codon, and T loops).
Source: Rfam by way of RNAcentral
UCCCUGGUGGUCCAGUGGUCAGGACUCAGCGCUUUCACUGUGGGCCCUGGGUUCAAUCCCUGGUUGGGGAA